This 468-nucleotide ribosomal RNA is filed under the name uncultured bacterium. RNAcentral's name for it is "partial 16S ribosomal RNA". It matches the Rfam family "Bacterial small subunit ribosomal RNA", at positions 28 to 507 of the family's 1533-position model. The record is from RNAcentral.
GACGAACGCUGGCGGCGUGCUUAACACAUGCAAGUCGAACGGAAAGGCCCUGCUUUUGUGGGGUGCUCGAGUGGCGAACGGGUGAGUAACCCCUGAGUAACCUUCCCUUUAAUUUUGGGUAACUUUAGGGAACUGGGGCUAAUACCGGAUAGGAGUUUUUGCUGCAUGGUGGGGGUUGGAAAGUUUCGGCGGUUGGGGAUGUACUCGCGGCUUAUCAGCUUGUUGGUGGGGUAGUGGCUUACCAAGGCUUUGACGGGUAGCCGGCCUGGGAGGGUGACCGGCCACAUGGGGACUGAGGGACGGCCCAGAAGCCUACGGUACGCAACAGUGGGAAAUAUUGCGGAAUGGGCGGAAGCCUGAUGCAGAAGCGCCGCGUGCGGGAUAACGGCCUUCGGGUUGAAAACAACUUUCGCAGGAAACAAGCCCUGAUUGACGGUACUUAAUAAGAAAGCAACGGCUAACUACGUG